ACGCUGGCGGCGUGCCUAAUACAUGCAAGUCGAGCGAGCUGAACUCAAAGAUCCCUUCGGGGUGAUUUGUUGGACGCUAGCGGCGGAUGGGUGAGUAACACGUGGGCAAUCUGCCCUAAAGACUGGGAUACCACUUGGAAACAGGUGCUAAUACCGGAUAACAACAUGAAUCGCAUGAUUCAAGUUUGAAAGGCGGCGUAAGCUGUCACUUUAGGAUGAGCCCGCGGCGCAUUAGCUAGUUGGUGGGGUAAAGGCCUACCAAGGCAAUGAUGCGUAGCCGAGUUGAGAGACUGAUCGGCCACAUUGGGACUGAGACACGGCCCAAACUCCUACGGGAGGCAGCAGUAGGGAAUCUUCCACAAUGGACGCAAGUCUGAUGGAGCAACGCCGCGUGAGUGAAGAAGGUUUUCGGAUCGUAAAGCUCUGUUGUUGGUGAAGAAGGAUAGAGGCAGUAACUGGUCUUUAUUUGACGGUAAUCAACCAGAAAGUCACGGCUAACUACGUGCCAGCAGCCGCGGUAAUACGUAGGUGGCAAGCGUUGUCCGGAUUUAUUGGGCGUAAAGCGAGCGCAGGCGGAAUGAUAAGUCUGAUGUGAAAGCCCACGGCUCAACCGUGGAACUGCGUCGGAAACUGUCAUUCUUGAGUGCAGAAGAGGAGAGUGGAACUCCAUGUGUAGCGGUGGAAUGCGUAGAUAUAUGGAAGAACACCAGUGGCGAAGGCGGCUCUCUGGUCUGCAACUGACGCUGAGGCUCGAAAGCAUGGGUAGCGAACAGGAUUAGAUACCCUGGUAGUCCAUGCCGUAAACGAUGAGCGCUAGGUGUUGGGGACUUUCCGGUCCUCAGUGCCGCAGCAAACGCAUUAAGCGCUCCGCCUGGGGAGUACGACCGCAAGGUUGAAACUCAAAGGAAUU
Molecule: ribosomal RNA, 910 nt
Filed under: uncultured bacterium
Lineage: Bacteria
Description: bacterial SSU rRNA
Rfam family: Bacterial small subunit ribosomal RNA
Source: RNAcentral